This 335-nucleotide long non-coding RNA is filed under the name Trifolium pratense (red clover). RNAcentral's name for it is "long non-coding RNA (TPRA_LNC001833)". Lineage: Eukaryota; Viridiplantae; Streptophyta; Magnoliopsida; Fabales; Fabaceae. The record is from RNAcentral.
GAUGAAUGAUGAAUGAUGAUGUUUGAAGAUGAAACGCACCGACUCGACGAAGAUGGUGAAGAGGAAACGGUGACGUUAUGUUCUUGCGAUGGUUGAUGGCGAUGGUUACGUUAUGUUCUUGAAACUAAAAACGAAUCGUUGUCGAGGAAGAAGAGAAUCGGAAGAAGAAAAAGCGAAUCGGAAGCGAAGGUGAAGAGGAGAGAGUGCGAUUUCUGAGCAGAAAGGUGAAGAGGAGGAGGUUUUGGGUUUCCGGUGAGGAGGAAGAUGGUAUGGUUUGCGAGAAUUGUUUUGUCUGGCGCGUUGAUUUUGCGAAAGGAGAAGAGUUGUUGUUUUGC